RNAcentral lists this unclassified non-coding RNA (304 nucleotides) under Hevea brasiliensis (rubber tree). The record is from RNAcentral. Lineage: Eukaryota; Viridiplantae; Streptophyta; Magnoliopsida; Malpighiales; Euphorbiaceae.
GCAUUUUUAAGAAAUAAUGAUCCUAAGAAGUUAUUUCUCCACAGAGUGAAUCCAGCAUUCCACCUCAACGAAAACACUAGUUAAUACCACAGAACAGGGAAACCAAGAGCUGGUUUUACCAGCAAAUUCUGUGAUAAUUGGCUUUAACCAAACUCUGUCAAAACUGACACAGCUCAAAUUCUGAGCUUGAAUUGAAAUUGCACCAUCAAGGGUAAUACCCAAAAAAACAAAACCUUUCUUUCACUUAUCAAACAAACAAUAGAUAAACCCUAAACCCUAACUGAGAAAUUAACCACAAUAGCAU